RNAcentral lists this ribosomal RNA (1253 nucleotides) under metagenome. RNAcentral describes it as "bacterial SSU rRNA". It matches the Rfam family "Bacterial small subunit ribosomal RNA", at positions 267 to 1498 of the family's 1533-position model. The record is from RNAcentral.
ACCAAGGCGACGAUGGGUAGCCGGGCUGAGAGGUUGUUCGGCCACACUGGGACUGAGACACUGCCCAGACUCCUUCGGGAGGCUGCAGUCGAGAAUCUUUCGCAAUGCGCGCAAGCGUGACGGAGCGACGCCGCGUGGAUGAUGAAGGCCUUCGGGUUGUAAAAUCCAGUCGCGGGGGAAGAAUGGCAGGAAGUUAAUAGCUUUUCUGUUUGACGUUACCCCGGGUGAAGCGCCGGCUAAACACGUGCCAGCAGCCGCGGUAAUACGUGUGGCGCAAGCGUUGUUCGGAAUCACUGGGCAUAAAGAGCGCGUAGGCGGUGCUGUAAGUCGGGUGUGAAAGCCCUCGGCUCAACCGAGGAACUGCAUUCGAAACUGCAGCGCUAGAGUGCGGAAGGGGGGAGCGGAAUUCCUGGUGGAGCGGUGAAAUGCGUAGAUAUCAGGAGGAACGCCGGUGGCGAAGGCGACUCUCUGGUCCGUUACUGACGCUCAGUGCGCGAAAGCUAGGGGAGCAAACAGGAUUAGAUACCCUGGUAGUCCUAGCUGUAAACGAUGGGCACUAGGUAGUGGGGGUUACCGACAUCCUCACUGCUGAAGCUAAUGUAUUAAGUGCCCCGCCUGGGGAGUAUGCUCGCAAGGGUGAAACUCAAAGGAAUUGACGGGGGCUCACACAAGCGGUGGAGCAUGUUGUUUAAUUCGAGCCUACGCGAAGAACCUUACCUGGGUUUGAAACGGUUGGUAUAAAGCUAUCGAAAGAUAGUGGAUUGCCCUUCGGGGUGUAACCUUCCACAGGUGCUGCAUGGCUGUCGUCAGCUCGUGUCGUGAGAUGUUGGGUUAAGUCCCGUAACGAGCGAAACCCCUGUCCCUAGUUGCUAGCGGGUAAUCCGAGGACUCUAGGGAGACUGCCGGUGUUAAACCGUGAGGAAGGUGGGGACGACGUCAAGUCAUCAUGGCCUUUAUAUCCAGGGCUACAAACGUGCUACAAUGGCCGGUACAAAGGGAUGCGAACCCGCGAGGCGGAGCAAAUCCCAAAAAACCGGCCCCAGUUCAGAUUGGAGGCUGCAAUUCGCCUCCAUGAAGUUGGAAUCGCUAGUAAUCGCGUGUCAGCCAUAACGCGGUGAAUGUGUUCCUGAGCCUUGUACACACCGACCGUCAAGCCAUCCAAGCAGGGCGCACCCGUAAUCGCUGACCCAACCCGCAAGGGAGGGAGGUGCUGAAGGUGAGCUUUGUGAGGAGGACUAAGUCGUAACAAGGUA